Molecule: unclassified non-coding RNA, 389 nt
Filed under: soil metagenome
Description: partial contains 5.8S ribosomal RNA, internal transcribed spacer 2, and large subunit ribosomal RNA
Rfam family: 5.8S ribosomal RNA (bases 1-122)
Source: RNAcentral
GAUGAAGAACGCAGCGAAAUGCGAUACUUGGUGUGAAUUGCAGAAUCCCGUGAACCAUCGAGUCUUUGAACGCAAGUUGCGCCCGAAGCCACUAGGCCGAGGGCACGCCUGCCUGGGCGUCACUCCGUUGCCCCCCCAUCUACUCCUUCGGGAUUGCGGGGGGGCGGAUGAUGGCCUCCUGUGCGCCUAGCCGCGCGGUUGGCAUAAAUACCAAGUCCUCGGCGACGCACGCCACGACAAUCGGUGGUUGCGAAACCUCGGUUGCCCGUCGUGUGCGUUCGUCGCGCAUCGAGGGCUCGAAAAAAUGCUCGGCUCCGGCUGGGCUUUCAACGCGACCCCAGGUCAGGCGGGGUUACCCGCUGAAUUUAAGCAUAUCAAUAAGCGGAGGA